This 497-nucleotide ribosomal RNA is filed under the name uncultured bacterium. RNAcentral's name for it is "partial 16S ribosomal RNA". It matches the Rfam family "Bacterial small subunit ribosomal RNA", at positions 28 to 507 of the family's 1533-position model. The record is from RNAcentral.
GAUGAACGCUGGCGGCGUGCCUAAUACAUGCAAGUCGAGCGAACAGACGAUGGGCUUGCUCCUCUGACGUUAGCGGCGGACGGGUGAGUAAGACGUGGAUAACCUACCUAUAAGACUGGGAUAACUUCGGGAAACCGGAGCUAAUACCGGAUAAUAUAUUGAACCGCAUGGUUCAAUAGUGAAAGACGGUUUUGCUGUCACUUAUAGAUGGAUCCGCGCCGCAUUAGCUAGUUGGUAAGGUAACGGCUUACCAAGGCGACGAUGCGUAGCCGACCUGAGAGGGUGAUCAGCCACACUGGAACUGAGACACGGUCCAGACUCCUACGGGAGGCAGCAGUGGGGAAUCUUCCGCAAUGGGCGCAAGCCUGACGGAGCAAUGCCGCGUGAGUGAUGAAGGUCUUCGGAUCGUAAAACUCUGUUAUUAGGGAAGAACAACUGUGUAAUUAUCUCUGCCCGUCUUGACGGUACCUAAUCAGAAAGCCACGGCUAACUACGUG